Periconia digitata is the source of this 110-nucleotide non-coding RNA. The record is from the annotation of a GenBank genome assembly. NCBI's taxonomy places the organism in Eukaryota, Fungi, Ascomycota, Dothideomycetes, Pleosporales, Periconiaceae.
AGGGGAGUUGGCGCAAUGGUAGCGCGUUGGUUUUCGGAUACGAAAGUAUGGGGUUCGUUCCCUCAAGCGGAAACACCAAAGGUUGUGGGUUCGAUCCCCAUGCUCCUCGU